UUAAAUUCAGGGGGUCUUCCCACUUCAUCUGAGGUCUAAUUCAUAGAUGUGCAAUGCCGUUCCCUCAAAAAUUAGACUUGCGCCUAAAGCUUAAGUUCACAACCUUGCUCAUUUGUUUCUUUUGACCGACAAUGACAUAGGGUUUAUGGAUUGGAUUCACAGUUAAGUGAAAGCAACUUGCCACGAACACACACAGUCGU
This 200-nucleotide unclassified non-coding RNA is filed under the name soil metagenome. Its description in RNAcentral is "partial internal transcribed spacer 2". The record is from RNAcentral.